ACGGGUGAGUAAUAUAUCGGAACGUGCCCAGUAGUGGGGGAUAGCCCGGCGAAAGCCGGAUUAAUACCGCAUACGACCUAUGGGUGAAAGCGGGGGAUCGCAAGACCUCGCGCUAUUGGAGCGGCCGAUAUCAGAUUAGGUAGUUGGUGGGGUAAAAGCCUACCAAGCCGACGAUCUGUAGCUGGUCUGAGAGGACGACCAGCCACACUGGGACUGAGACACGGCCCAGACUCCUACGGGAGGCAGCAGUGGGGAAUUUUGGACAAUGGGCGCAAGCCUGAUCCAGCCAUGCCGCGUGCGGGAAGAAGGCCUUCGGGUUGUAAACCGCUUUUGUCAGGGAAGAAAUCCCUUGAGCUAAUACCUCGGGGGGAUGACGGUACCUGAAGAAUAAGCACCGGCUAACUACGUGCCAGCAGCCGCGGUAAUACGUAGGGUGCGAGCGUUAAUCGGAAUUACUGGGCGUAAAGCGUGCGCAGGCGGUUUUGUAAGACAGAGGUGAAAUCCCCGGGCUUAACCUGGGAACUGCCUUUGUGACUGCAAGGCUUGAGUGCGGCAGAGGGGGAUGGAAUUCCGCGUGUAGCAGUGAAAU
Molecule: ribosomal RNA, 589 nt
Filed under: uncultured bacterium
Lineage: Bacteria
Description: bacterial SSU rRNA
Rfam family: Bacterial small subunit ribosomal RNA
Source: RNAcentral